UCUUAAUUCCAUCUUAAGCUUGGCGUGGAUUAAUUAUUAACUUCAUUAACUAUUGUUUUGAUGACGUCAAGUGUGGGGAUAGCCUUAAUUUAUUAAGUCUUUAUUAAUUCAGUCUUAUAAUUUUAAAAGUUCUUUCAAAUGAGACAAACUACAUUCUUACUGUCAAUGUCCUUUAAACAAGUUCAUGUCAUAAAAUAUGAGAGUCUGUCCUGUUAUUACGGAAUAAUUUCAAUUAGUUGAGAAAGUUAUUUUUACAUGCACCGGUACCAUAGAAAUAAUAGACAAUAUUUCAUAGAAAUAAUAGACAAUAAUAGGUAGGUCUAAUAUUUCUAUAACCGGUACCCAUGUUGUACCAAUCAAUGUUGUACCGAUGUUGUACUCAUAUUGUACCCAUAUUGUACCCAUGUUGUAAGUGUGUCAUUAACUGUAUUUGCCUUUAAUUAAUUAACUAAAAUAUUUUUUGCAAACUGCGCUGCUUCUACGACUACGAUUGUUAUUGUGUCUAUAGAGCUUGUUAUUGUUUAUGACAGCGUAACGUGUAAGCUUCAGCUUCAUUAAGAAACACGUAGAAAGCAUCUUUUAUCACAGAGUUGGAAUGAAUGAUUGUUUUUACUUUUUGUGUUGUGUUGUUUAAUGUGUAUGGUUGGAUCUUACAUUUGUAUAUCUUACUUCUUGUUGAAAUUGUUAAUUAGAGAAAUUGUGUUUCUAGGUCUUUUAUAUUGAUUUAGUAUAUAUCAGGGCCGUCGGAAGCGGGUUGGGGGGCCUGACCAAUAAUUUCCAAGAUCAACCCAUUCUCUUCGUUUGUAUGAUGUACAUCAUCAUACAGACACAGUGAUAAUCUGACCCUCACGCCAUCUCCACCCUAACCCCCUCACCCUUCUUAGUACAGAGC
Non-coding RNA from Paramuricea clavata, 892 nucleotides. Lineage: Eukaryota; Metazoa; Cnidaria; Anthozoa; Malacalcyonacea; Plexauridae. The record is from the annotation of a GenBank genome assembly.